Molecule: ribosomal RNA, 578 nt
Filed under: uncultured bacterium
Lineage: Bacteria
Description: bacterial SSU rRNA
Rfam family: Bacterial small subunit ribosomal RNA
Source: RNAcentral
ACGGGAGGCAGCAGUAGGGAAUCUUCCACAAUGGGCGAAAGCCUGAUGGAGCAACGCCGCGUGGGUGAAGAAGGAUUUCGGUUCGUAAAACUCUGUUGUAAGGGAAGAACAAGUACAGUAGUAACUGGCUGUACCUUGACGGUACCUUAUUAGAAAGCCACGGCUAACUACGUGCCAGCAGCCGCGGUAAUACGUAGGUGGCAAGCGUUGUCCGGAAUUAUUGGGCGUAAAGCGCGCGCAGGCGGUCCUUUAAGUCUGAUGUGAAAGCCCACGGCUCAACCGUGGAGGGUCAUUGGAAACUGGGGGACUUGAGUGCAGAAGAGGAAAGCGGAAUUCCACGUGUAGCGGUGAAAUGCGUAGAGAUGUGGAGGAACACCAGUGGCGAAGGCGGCUUUCUGGUCUGUAACUGACGCUGAGGCGCGAAAGCGUGGGGAGCAAACAGGAUUAGAUACCCUGGUAGUCCACGCCGUAAACGAUGAGUGCUAAGUGUUAGGGGGUUUCCGCCCCUUAGUGCUGCAGCUAACGCAUUAAGCACUCCGCCUGGGGAGUACGGCCGCAAGGCUGAAACUCAAAGGAAU